RNAcentral lists this ribosomal RNA (369 nucleotides) under uncultured alga. RNAcentral's name for it is "bacterial LSU rRNA". It matches the Rfam family "Bacterial large subunit ribosomal RNA", at positions 2098 to 2465 of the family's 2925-position model. The record is from RNAcentral.
GCUUGACUGUAUCUUGGAAUUGGGUUCGGGCUUUUCUUGCGCAGACUAGGUGGGAGGCUAUGGAGAUUUUCUUCUGGGAAAGUUGGAGCCAACAGUGAGAGACCACUCUGGAAAGGCUAGAAUUCUAAUGGUGAUCCUUGAAUCAGGACACUUGACAGUUUCAGGUGGGCAGUUUUUCUGGGGCGGAAGCCUCAUAAAAGGUAACUGAGGCGCGCAAAGGUCCCCUCAGUCUGGACGGAAAUCAGACAUUGAGUGUAAAGGCAAAAGGGGGCUUGACUGCAAGACCCACAAGUCGAGCAGGGGCGAAAGCUGGCCUUAGUGAUCCGACGGUGCCGUGUGGAAGGGCCGUCGCUCAACGAAUAAAAGUUA